Monodelphis domestica (gray short-tailed opossum) is the source of this 283-nucleotide unclassified non-coding RNA. It matches the Rfam family "Metazoan signal recognition particle RNA". From Rfam's summary of the family: The signal recognition particle (SRP) is a universally conserved ribonucleoprotein. Lineage: Eukaryota; Metazoa; Chordata; Mammalia; Didelphimorphia; Didelphidae. The record is from Ensembl.
CCUGGGCUUGGUGGCGCAUGCCUGUAAUGCUAGAUAUAAGAGGUUAAAGCUCAAGUAUCUCUUGAGCUUGGAGUUCUGAGCUGUAGUGGGUUUUGCUGAUUGGGUGUUUGUACUGUUUGCCAUUAAAAUGGUGAGCCCCUGGGAGCAGGGGGACCACAAGGGUCAGCCUGGUCCAGGUAGGAAAUAGGGCAGGUUGAUGCUCUCAUACCAAUCAGUAGUGGGGUUGGGACUCUUGAAUAGUCCCUGCACUUCUACUUUGAGCAAGAAAGGGAAUUGUUUUAUU